AUUAAAUCAGUUAUCGUUUAUUUGAUAGUACCUUACUACUUGGAUAACCGUGGUAAUUCUAGAGCUAAUACAUGCUAAAAAUCCCGACUUCGGAAGGGAUGUAUUUAUUAGAUUAAAAACCAAUGCCCUUCGGGGCUCACUGGUGAUUCAUGAUAACUUCUCGAAUCGCAUGGCCUUGCGCCGGCGAUGGCUCAUUCAAAUUUCUGCCCUAUCAACUUUCGACGGCUGGGUCUUGGCCAGCCAUGGUGACAACGGGUAACGGAGGGUUAGGGCUCGACCCCGGAGAAGGAGCCUGAGAGACGGCUACUACAUCCAAGGAAGGCAGCAGGCGCGCAAAUUACCCAAUCCCGACACGGGGAGGUAGUGACGAUAAAUACUGAUACAGGGCUCUUUUGGGUCUUGUAAUUGGAAUGAGUACAAUUUAAAUCCCUUAACGAGGAACAAUUGGAGGGCAAGUCUGGUGGACUCUAGUCUCAUUUAUGCUGCUAGCGCCAGAAAUAGUAGGGCGAGUAUGUCGGCAUACGAGCCCUGCUAGUCGAGCACCCGUGCAUGCUGCGGGCGGGUGCCGGCGACACAACCUGGAUCGGGGAAGGCUAAGGGCUACCGCCUAUGCUAAUCCCGAGCGGAGCCCCUGGGGAGCGAUCCCUUUGCGGCCCGUGUAAAGCGCGCCAAGGUGUGGGCUUCUCUGCUUUAGCGAGCAGGAGGCUUAAGGUACGUGCCGUCCGCCGGGAAACCGGAUUCUUGU
Molecule: ribosomal RNA, 745 nt
Filed under: Xylochrysis aquatica
Lineage: Eukaryota; Fungi; Ascomycota; Sordariomycetes; Woswasiaceae
Description: SSU rRNA
Rfam family: Eukaryotic small subunit ribosomal RNA (bases 1-497)
Source: RNAcentral